CCUGGGGACUGGGGUCAGCCCAGGGUGGGGCUCCUGAGAGGAGAUGGGCACGUGGCACCGGCUUGGGGACACCCUCUGUGUCCCCACACUCCUCAGUUGUGCCCUUGUGGACCCCGCCUGCCCCCCACAAUCGUGUCUGCCUGGAGAGCUCACACCAGAUCUCUCUCCAGGAGGCCCUGCAGGACGGACUGCCCCCCACCCCCGCAGCAUCUUCCCAGCAGCCCCAAGCCCGGCAAGGGACGGAGCAGCUUCCUGACCGUGCGGCCUGGGAGGCAGUGGAUGAUGGCGCAAGUUCCCGGCUCCUGGCUUUUAGUCUGGCCCAGCCUCAGCUGUCGGCAAGCUCUCCUCCCCUUCAGCGCCUGGAAACUUGCUGACCCUGCACCCCAGCCCAGGCUUGGUGCCACCUGUGCUUCCAUGGAGGCACACAGCUCGGCACUACCUGUGGAGGUGCCUGGUAGGUCCCUUCCCCCGCUACACCUGACUCGGCCGUUGUUCUCAGGAGGUUGGGUGAGGGGACAGGACUCUGCCCAGUGUCCAGGACCCGGAGGAGGCCGAGUGUGUGGUGAAGCUCAG
Non-coding RNA from Oryctolagus cuniculus (rabbit), 573 nucleotides. NCBI's taxonomy places the organism in Eukaryota, Metazoa, Chordata, Mammalia, Lagomorpha, Leporidae. The record is from RefSeq and is a predicted model, not a curated record.